UGUUGUUUGAAAGAGAGGGCAGUUUUUCAUAAACACAAAUACAGGAUAUUUCCCUUUAAGAAAACUCAUGGAAUACAGCAUAUGUGAAAGCCUCAAUGCCUUGUCUUGUGAGAAUGCAAACCAAAGCCAGUCACACGGAUGUACAUGUUGGGGAAAAAUCACAGCGAAAUCAGAAACAGCUGUCUCCAUAAUUGCUUGUGUUACAUGGAGGAAAUUGAAAUGUAUGUAUAUUUUAAAAUGAGAAGAGUUGUUUUCACAACUCUAAUCUAAAGUUGUUUGGUGGUUCACAGGAUCGUUUUGAAAACUGAAUGGGAACCGGGGCAUCUCUUUGUCUGCAACCUUAUCAGCUGUCUCCUCUGUAAGCUCCUCAAUUAGUGAGCUACUGCAGAGAAGUGAGAAAAGGACCAUCCGUGGAAUGGCAUUCCUGAUAAAGAGCAGCAUUUUGUUGGUCUCCUCCACUUCCAGCGAUUGAUGAAACUUAUCUUGAAUUUGCUUCAGUCCACUUUAAAGCUUGUGGUGGUGACUGCUGAAAUACUUUGUAAUCCCUACCUGCUUAUUCUUAGAUUAUGAUGGAAAAUGUGCUGACCAGCCUUUGCUUUCGUUUUGUCAACUACAACCAAAAGGAGAUACUGGAAUACUUGUUCAAGCUGUUCUAAGGCCUCCUUGAACUGUAGAUGAGAAGUGUGUGACUAGUCUCAUUCACACCAGCUGAGGACUGAGAGCUCCCCAGGAAUUUUUCUUAAAAUAAACCAAAAGCCAACAACACUGUCUUCAAUGGAGAGAUGCGUUGUAGAGAAAACGGAUAUUCAGUGAUAGAAAAUGAAUCAGAAGAACGAACUUCAGAAAGGGUGGGAAGGACGGGAGAGAAAAAUGAAGUGAACUUUAAGGGGACUAAACAGAUGCCCUCCGCAAACAGCAAUGUGUUACUUACGGAUUUAGAAAGCUGGGAAGCCUUCCACUUCAGAGAGGUGCUAAGAGAAGGAAGGUGAAGUUAAGAGAAGAAAAAAAUGGAGGAAUUUCAUGAACAUACUUAUCAUCUUUCCUUUACACAGAAACUGUUGGGCCAUUUAUUAUGACUGCGCUGUCCACACAAGCUGAGGUGACAAAAUGUACUCUCCCAGCUUACAGGAUUUUGUACCUCAUUGGGAUGAGGCUGGUAAUGCCGCAGAAGUGAAAAACCCUGGUCAUACAGACCUCUCCCUUCUUCCUUGCUCUUGCUCAUUAGCUCAAUAAAGCACAGAAUGUUUCAACA
RNAcentral lists this long non-coding RNA (1252 nucleotides) under Numida meleagris (helmeted guineafowl). RNAcentral's name for it is "lncRNA (ENSNMEG00000002025.1)". Lineage: Eukaryota; Metazoa; Chordata; Aves; Galliformes; Numididae. The record is from RNAcentral.